ACUCAGUGAAAUUGAACUCGCUGUGAAGAUGCAGUGUACCCGCGGCAAGACGGAAAGACCCCGUGAACCUUUACUAUAGCUUGACACUGAACAUUGAGCCUUGAUGUGUAGGAUAGGUGGGAGGCUUAGAAGUGUGGACGCCAGUCUGCAUGGAGCCGACCUUGAAAUACCACCCUUUAAUGUUUGAUGUUCUAACGUUGACCCGUAAUCCGGGUUGCGGACAGUGUCUGGUGGGUAGUUUGACUGGGGCGGUCUCCUCCUAAAGAGUAACGGAGGAGCACGAAGGUUGGCUAAUCCUGGUCGGACAUCAGGAGGUUAGUGCAAUGGCAUAAGCCAGCUUGACUGCGAGCGUGACGGCGCGAGCAGGUGCGAAAGCAGGUCAUAGUGAUCCGGUGGUUCUGAAUGGAAGGGCCAUCGCUCAACGGAUAAAAGGUACUCCGGGGAUAACAGGCUGAUACCGCCUAAGAGUUCAUAUCGACGGCGGUGUUUGGCACCUCGAUGUCGGCUCAUCACAUCCUGGGGCUGAAGUAGGUCCCAAGGGUAUGGCUGUUCGCCAUUUAAAGUGGUACGCGAGCUGGGUUUAGAACGUCGUGAGACAGUUCGGUCCCUAUCUGCCGUGGGCGCUGGAGAACUGAGGGGGGCUGCUCCUAGUACGAGAGGACCGGAGUGGACGCAUCACUGGUGUUCGGGUUGUCAUGCCAAUGGCACUGCCCGGUAGCUAAAUGCGGAAGAGAUAAGUGCUGAAAGCAUCUAAGCACGAAACUUGCCCCGAGAUGAGUUCUCCCUGACCCUUUAAGGGUCCUGAAGGAACGUUGAAGACGACGACGUUGAUAGGCCGGGUGUGUAAGCGCAGCGAUGCGUUGAGCUAACCGGUACUAAUGAACCGUGAGGCUUAACCUUACAACGCCGAAGGUGUUU
RNAcentral lists this ribosomal RNA (918 nucleotides) under Escherichia coli. RNAcentral's name for it is "partial 23S ribosomal RNA". It matches the Rfam family "Bacterial large subunit ribosomal RNA", at positions 2031 to 2925 of the family's 2925-position model. Lineage: Bacteria; Pseudomonadati; Pseudomonadota; Gammaproteobacteria; Enterobacterales; Enterobacteriaceae. The record is from RNAcentral.